This is a non-coding RNA of Notechis scutatus (mainland tiger snake), 486 nucleotides long. The record is from RefSeq and is a predicted model, not a curated record. NCBI's taxonomy places the organism in Eukaryota, Metazoa, Chordata, Lepidosauria, Squamata, Elapidae.
GUGAAAUUACUGGGACUGGGACCGGAUCCGGGGAUUGGUGUAGACAUCCUUGGCUGGGCAGACACAACAAGCUGGAAUCCACAAAGAUCCUGUAGGAGCAAACACAACAACACAGCCCUGCGCCCUUGGCCCCAAAUAGUUAACUAAAACAUUCAAUUAAUUUAAGGUAAAUAGAAACAUUCAAUUGCAUUCAAUUGAUUUAAGAUAAAUAAUACUUUUUAAAACUACUUUUUAAAACUUUUUAGAGACCCUUUCCCUCCUGUUUUAUUUAUUUGUGGAGACAGGCCUUAAAUGAUCGAUGAGCAUGUUCCAUUCUGGCUAUAUUCCAGGUUGUACAAAAUUGCAAAAAAGCCAAAUAUCAUGUUGUAAAAAAGAGGGCUUGCCUUGUGGGUAACAUCCAUUUGCCAAAGUUGAGGAUGAAACAAUCUGCUUGGCUUGAUUAACUGGAAUAUGGCAAGCUUUUGCCAGGCCUCUAGCAUUUUGAUG